RNAcentral lists this ribosomal RNA (648 nucleotides) under uncultured organism. Its description in RNAcentral is "bacterial SSU rRNA". It matches the Rfam family "Bacterial small subunit ribosomal RNA", at positions 82 to 749 of the family's 1533-position model. The record is from RNAcentral.
GGGGGGUACAUCAGCGGCGAACGGGUGAGUAAGACGUGGGUGACCUUCCCCAAAGACGGGGAUAAGUCUUGGAAGCAGGGGCUAAUACCCGAUGUGCUCAGCAGUACAGUCUGUUGAGUAGAGCUAUGGCGCUUUGGGAUGGGCCCGCUGCCCAUCAGCUAGUUGGUAGGGUAAAGGCCUACCAAUGCUAAGACGGGUAGGGGGCGUGAGAGCGCGAUCCCCCACACUGACACUGAGACACUGGGCCAGAGUCCUACGGGAGGCAUCAAUGAGGAAUAUUGCGCAAUGGACGAAAGUCUGACGCAGCGACGCCGCGUGGGCGAUGACCGCCUUCGGGUCGUAGAGCCCUUUUCUGGGGGACGAGAAAGGACGGUACCCCAGGAAUAAUCCCCGGCUAACUACGUGUCAGCAGCCGCGGUAAAACGUAGGGGGCAAGCGUUAUCCGGAUUUACUGGGCGUAAAGAGCGUUGAGGCGGUUAUGUAAGUUGGGCGUGAAAGCCCUGGGUUUAAGUCAGGGAAGCCGUUCAAUACUGCGAAACUUGAGUGGCAGCACAGGGAGGUGUAAUUCCCUGAGUAGCUGUGAAAUGCGUAGAUAUCGUGAGGAACACCAUUGGCGAAUGCGGUCUCCUGGGCUGCUCCUGACGCUGA